Molecule: non-coding RNA, 29 nt
Filed under: Mus musculus (house mouse)
Lineage: Eukaryota; Metazoa; Chordata; Mammalia; Rodentia; Muridae
Source: RNAcentral
UGGGAGACAGCAGUGACACUGCCAGGUAC